This is a small nucleolar RNA of Macadamia integrifolia, 99 nucleotides long. RefSeq annotates it as small nucleolar RNA Z266. The record is from RefSeq and is a predicted model, not a curated record. NCBI's taxonomy places the organism in Eukaryota, Viridiplantae, Streptophyta, Magnoliopsida, Proteales, Proteaceae. The transcript has a single exon.
AAAUGGCAAGAAUGAUGAGACAAUUAGAUGUGUGAAGGGAUGUUCAAUUCCUUCAUGACCGUAAUAUCUGAGGCUUAUUGAUAUUCUGACUUGCCCACU